Molecule: long non-coding RNA, 2101 nt
Organism: Struthio camelus australis
Lineage: Eukaryota; Metazoa; Chordata; Aves; Struthioniformes; Struthionidae
Source: Ensembl
CGCUUACUGGACGCACUGGCUUGUUUUCGGGCCGCGGCUGUGUCCUGGAGCAUCUCCCCAGGCUGACCAUCGGUGGGGCUUUCUGCUGCGGGAAGGAGGCCAACCACGAAGCUGAGUGGCACAGGUUAAUGGGCCUGCCCCAGUGCAGCACCGUGGACGUGGCUGAUUUGCUCAUUAAGGAUGUCUUUUCCGGCAUCAGAGACAACAGGCCAAGACACUACAUGGCGUGUUCUGGAGCAAAGAGAAAAUCGAGAAGGGCACAAGCGAGGAACCUUUUGGGAAUUCCUCAGGUUUUUCCAGCUGCAGAGUAGGGUGAAAACUAUCAGCUAUAAAAAUAUCACAGUUGAUGCUGUUAAACAAAUCAUCAUUUGUCAACAGGUAGCUGAAAUUAUAUCCAAUUCGAGUGACAGAGCCUAAACUGUUUUUUUUUUCAAACCCCCCCCCCCCAAUACUACUGUAUAGUAACAGCUGGCAGAAAACUGGCAACCAAGACUGCGCUGGCCUGAUAAAUAGCCCGGCGAGGCUGGAGGAGAGGCUGUAUCGCGGGGAGAGGCUGCAGCCCAGGCAGGAAUGUGUUGUACAAAGCCUUGUUAACAAUCUAUGCGCAGGCAGUAAAAUUGCUUGAUGAAAAAGUACUAGAAAAAAUGUUAUUUAAAUAAGACACAGGUUUCCUGGGGUUAUCAAAAGAGCAUGUCAAGUUUAGGCCUAAGAAUACGAAACCCCCCCAACAGCAAACCAGCAAGUGUUAGCAUUUCUUGCUCCUUGAAAUGGGGCAUUCUGGUAGUAAUGCGUGAAGUGUCCCAACCAGCUCUACGUUACAGCAAGGCAAGCCAGAAAACCAACAGAGAGAAAUAUUUUUAUAUUUGUUUCACAGCUCCCAAAUUCUGCUGGAGAAUUUUCCACUCUUCCAGAUGUUUUCUGAGAGAGAGAGAGAGAGAGACAUACCCUGCUUUCAGAUGCUGUGUUGCCUCGGAGCUGCUCAGACCACACCGGGCCACCUGGGAGACGGAAGGGUUUCUACAACGCGCUGCCAGCUGCCAGCCGGCCCCUGAAGUGCCGAAGCUGCAGGGAAGGAAGCUGAGCUGCUUCCUGAGCCGCUGAGGAGGCCGACCACCACCAGGACCAUGCAGCAGCGGGGGCUUCUGCUGGCCGGCCAGGCUGCAAACGCAGACCGGGUGUGACGGACGCUGAACCUGGCUGGUCAGCGCGUGACCUUGAAAUCCUAGUUCACCUCAACAGCAUGUCUUCAUAUGCUGCUACGAUUAAUUGGAUGCUUUUCAGUUCUUGCACAGCUUGCCCAGGGCUUCUUGUGCAAAAGCGAGUCCCACAUCUCUGCAGCUCUUUGCCAGCCUCAAGGCUCAUUUCACACAAGGACCUCUCCCUGACCUUGCUGCUGCUCACACCCUAAACAAGCUGGCGUCUCAGCAGUCCAUCCACAAGCUUGCUCACUCUUAAAGAACCUGGUUUCACCGCACUGCUCUGCAACACAACGCCCAAGAGCCUCAACCUGCCAGCUCCUCUGUGGAAGGAGAUUCGUUUCUCAGGGGCAGCUCCCCACAUAGGUCAAAGUAUUUAAUAGUGAUGACUGUCUGUAGAGGAGGGGGGAGUGGCAAAAGGAUGAGCCCAGCCUCUUCUCCGUGGUGCCCAGCAACAGGACAAGAGGCAAUGGGCAGAAACUGAACCACAGGAAGUUCCAUCUGAACCUGAGAAAAAACUUCUUCACUGUGAGGGUGACAGAGCAUUGGAACAGGUUGCCCAGAGGGGUGGUGGAGUCUCCUUCGCUGGAGAUAUUCAAAACCCGUCUGGAUGUGAUCCUGGGCAAUAUGCUCUAGGUGACCCUGCUUGAGCAGGGAGGUUGGACUAGAUGAUCUCCAGAGGUCCCUUCCAACCUAAACGAUUCUGUAAUUCUGUGUGAUUCUGUCUUUCUCCAACCCCUUGCAGUCUGGUCAGGCUUUAGUGGCGUCUACCACAGAUCGCCAGAGCCUGUGAGCUGUUGCAUGCAGCAACGUGGAAGAUUUCACCCCCCCCUUCUCUCUAGCAAACAGCCCCCAGAACGACUCUGCACCGCUGCUGUCACCUUCUGCGACUCGCUGCGGCACUC